This is a long non-coding RNA of Nicotiana attenuata, 648 nucleotides long. RefSeq lists it as uncharacterized. The record is from RefSeq and is a predicted model, not a curated record. Lineage: Eukaryota; Viridiplantae; Streptophyta; Magnoliopsida; Solanales; Solanaceae. The transcript is spliced from 2 exons.
CCUGGCUGUUUCUUGCCAAUAAAUUUCAAGCUAAGGGUAUUAGGGACUUUUGACAAAAUCUCCCAAGUAACGUGUCUGCAAACCUGCAAUUAAACAGCCACGUAUCUUUCUGCUCUCUCCGACUCUUAACAUCUUUUUUGGUCUCUCCUCCCGUGUAUGCAAGCCAAUUCCAAUCUGGAAUAUUCUUGGCAUAACCCACUGUAUUCAAAGGAAUCAACCAUUAACAAUGCACAGAGAAAGAGUGAUACAGAAAUAAUCCACCAUAGCCAAAGCGUAGCAACGAGAUCAAGAACCCAAAUAUGCGUUGUUUUCCUUGAAGCCAGAAUUUGAUAGAGCAGAAACAGUUCAUGGAUUACUAUUCUCUUGAUUUCUCAGUUGCAUAUCCAUUAUUAAUCUUUUUGUUUCUGUUGUUUGCGCGUUUCUCCAAUUUUUUGGGUUGCACCUCCUUAUUUUUGAUGCUUUUGUUGUUUUAUUUAUUUCAUCUUCUUUGUUUCAGUUUUCAAUGGCCUAUGGGUUGUGGUACCUAUCUGUUCCUCUGUCUGCACAUCAUCUUUUAAGUACCGCACUAUUUUAUUUCUUCUUAACUUCUUGGUAGUUUAUGUAAUUAUAAAUAUUGUCUAAUUAUUUGAGUUACUUUUUUGCUUUUGA